CAUUACCAGCGAUGAGUGAAACAUAUGAAGCUUGUUAUGAUAGUUGUGUUUCCUCGUGCCAAAUGUUUUCUCUCGACGUUAAAAUCAAAUGCAUUCAUGAUUGUGUUGGUUCCAAAUGUCAUAAAGCACAUGUAAUCCCCCGGAUGGCGGGUAAAGAUAUAUUUUAAGAAAUUCUUACAUAGAGAGAUAUGUUAUUAAACACACAUGAUAUUUUUAGUUUACUAUGUAUAAUAAUAAAAUUUCAUCGUCAUUUUCAGAAUUCAACCGUUCUCAAAACAUAUUUUGGUCAACUUCUCAAAACAUUUUAUGUUACACCUUUUAAUUGUUUUCUCGUCUCAUAGAUCUUAAUUGUUUGGGCUGAGUCUAGAUUUAGAUAUGGGCUUGUCCCACCCAUAUGCACCCAGUUUAAAGAAUAUAAAGACUAAAAAUGUAGAAAAUUAUUUUAUUUUUAUGUGAUUUUGAGAAUUUUCUUAUAAACGUACAAUGCACAUGAUUUCUACUAAGAAAAAGAUUAACUGAUAUUCGACACAUAUAAUUUGUAAAUGAUGAACGAUAAAAUUCUAAUUAUAAUUGUUCAUUUUUCUCUCUAGCAAAGACAUAAUUACUGGAAAAAAUAUAUUAAGAUACGCCUUUGGACAUAAAACUAUAAAUAUGAUUCUGUAAUUCAGAUCUUUACAUUUUUAUAAGAAUUCACGAUCUUUUUUUUGAAAAAACAUUCCAGAUAGAAAUUUUUUAAACAAUAAAAAUAAUGUUCGUCAUUUCUCAGUAACUAUAAUAAAUAAACAUAAUUAAAUUGAUACAUCAACAAGAAAAAUCUUACUUAUAUAUAACUGAAUUCUAAUUUAUAUGGUCAACUUCGGGAAACAACAUCAUCUUUUUAUCCUAAUUCAACAUAU
Brassica rapa (field mustard) is the source of this 896-nucleotide long non-coding RNA. RefSeq lists it as uncharacterized. NCBI's taxonomy places the organism in Eukaryota, Viridiplantae, Streptophyta, Magnoliopsida, Brassicales, Brassicaceae. The record is from RefSeq and is a predicted model, not a curated record.